GAUGAAUGCUGGCGGCGCGCCUAACACAUGCAAGUCGAGCGGAAAGGCCCUUCGGGGUACUCGAGCGGCGGACGGCUGAGUAACGCGUGGGAACAUGCCCCAAAGUGAGGAAUAACUGCCCGAAAGGGUAGCUAAUACCGCAUAUGAUCGUCGGAUUAAAGGAUUUAUCCGCUUUGGGAGUGGCCCGCGUACGAUUAGGUAGUUGGUGAGGUAAAGGCUCACCAAGCCGACGAUCGUUAACUGGUCUGAGAGGAUGAUCAGUCAGACUGGAACUGAGACACGGUCCAGACUCCUACGGGAGGCAGCAGUGAGGAAUCAUCCACAAUGGGCGAAAGCCUGAUGGAGCGACGCCGCGUGCAGGAUGAAGGCCUUCGGGUUGUAAACUGCUUUUAUAAGUGAAGAAUAUGACGGUAACUUAUGAAUAAGCACCGGCUAACUACGUGCCAGCAGCAGCCGCA
Molecule: ribosomal RNA, 458 nt
Filed under: uncultured bacterium
Lineage: Bacteria
Description: partial 16S ribosomal RNA
Rfam family: Bacterial small subunit ribosomal RNA
Source: RNAcentral